GUGGGGAAUAUUGGACAAUGGGCGAAAGCCUGAUCCAGCAACGCCGCGUGAGUGAGGAAGGUCUUCGGAUUGUAAAACUCUUUUAUUAGGGAAAAAUGUCUAGGUGGCUAAUAUCCACUUAGAGUGAUGGUACCUAAGGAAUAAGCACCGGCUAACUUCGUGCCAGCAGCCGCGGUAAUACGAAGGGUGCAAGCGUUAAUCGGAAUUACUGGGCGUAAAGCGCGCGUAGGUGGUGUUGUAAGUUGGAGGUGAAAUCCCCGGGCUCAACCUGGGAACUGCCUCCAAAACUGCAUGACUAGAGUACGGUAGAGGGUAGUGGAAUUUCCUGUGUAGCGGUGAAAUGCGUAGAUAUAGGAAGGAACACCAGUGGCGAAGGCGACUACCUGGACUGAUACUGACACUGAGGUGCGAAAGCGUGGGGAGCAAACAGGAUUAGAUACCCCGGUAGUCC
This 451-nucleotide ribosomal RNA is filed under the name uncultured bacterium. Its description in RNAcentral is "partial 16S ribosomal RNA". It matches the Rfam family "Bacterial small subunit ribosomal RNA", at positions 354 to 796 of the family's 1533-position model. The record is from RNAcentral.